AUGACGAUAAUGACGGUUCGAGGCAGAGGCACAAUGAGUUGCUGGACAUGGUGCACUCUUUCAGCAGAAGUUUCAAGUUCUAAAGGAGAUUGAUGUACCGAACACAGCUCUCCACCACAAGGGGGAUGGCUUGGCCUGAAUCCUGAAAAAUCAAACAAAGAAUGAUCCAUUUGGUCUGCUUAUGGAACAAGGAAGACAACAGAAUCUGUUGUUUUCUACACCAGGUCUGAAAUACGAAGAAAGAGCACACACAUGGAUACUGUUUACAAGCUCAGAGGGAAAUCCAUUGUUGACAAAUUACCCAAAGGGACAUGUUCAUUGAUCUGAGAACUCCAGUUAAAGUCACUUAAAGUGAAUAUGUGAAUGUCUUGCAGACAUACUGCCUGACGUAUAGGACAGCCUUGUAUACUGAACACAGGCUAUUUCAACACAAUGUAAUUUAUCCUACAGUACUACAGUAUAAAAUCUGUAUGUGAUGGGGCUUCUGAAUACUAUUCAGUUUAUUCAUUAAAUUAUUGAAAGUCUUAUGUGUACAAAAGAAGCCCAGUUUGAUCUUUAGAAGAGAUGAACAAUAUUGUUUAUUGAAGGAGGUAAUCCAUUAUAUGCAGUUACAAAAAAGACUCACAAGCUGUUGACAUGCAAAUGUGCCAAAAUCUCAUGCAAUUAUUUGAGUUGCACCAUUUCAUUGCAUUAAUUUUGACAAUGUCUGCCUGUUUGUUUUUCUAUUAGCACAUUGAAAUACACACAUUGAAUAACCUAAAGAGUUUCUAUUGCAGGUGGUGUCUGGUGAUGCUAUAAUUAUCUGUGCACUGUCGGAAAUGAGCAGGACUGCAUUAAAAAAACAAACCAAAAAAAAGUUUAAAUAAAUGGAUAAUUGGAUCUGGUGGAACCCCGACUCAUCCAAAACCCAGUGGGUUGGCAGACUGGAGGACCUCCUAGGUGGUCUCAAAGAACAAGAUUGGUGCCUUAUGUACAGGGAGUUUGGACAUAAGGUGGUUUGCUUCCCACUCCAAGAGGAAGAAGAGGAGCUGCCUGCCUGAAGGCUGGAGAAGACCAAACUGCCUGCCCGAAAACAAAAGAAGGGAAGGCGAGGAAAGGAACCGGUGCCAUCUUCAGGGCCAGAGAGGGAGGUGCUGUCUGCCCGAGUGCCAGGGGGAGGGGCUGCCAGCCAGAGUACUAGAGGGAAGAGCCACUGCCGUCUCCAGAGCCAAAGGGGGAGGAGUUGCUGUCACCCUGAAAGCCAAAAGGGGAGGGGCCUCUGAUGUCUCCAGUGCCAAAGGGGGAGGGUCUGUUGCCGUCUCCAGUGCAGAAGGGGGAGGAGUCUGGCGCAGUGUCGCCACUGCUGGAGUGAACCCCUCGAUAGAAAAGCCCAGUGGGGAAAAGUCAAUCGGGCUUAAGGGUAGAAAGGGUGUUAAAACGGUCACCUCCGCACAGGAGCCCAGAGAUCACCAAGGAGGCUAAACGAGGACCCCCUUACAGACGCUCGACCUCACAACCCGCCCGCCAACCCACCACGAAAGCCCUUAAUGUAUAUAGUCUGUGUGUGCAGGAAUGUAAGGUUGUUAGGGAUACGGUUAAAUCUAUCCCUGCCAGCAAUCACAGGUGUAGCCAUUCCCCAAUUUGGUAAUUGUUGCUAACUGGGUAGUAACCACAUGUAUAAGGAACCAGAAAUCAUUUGUUUGUUGAAAGAGUUUGUGCUGUGAGUUUUGUAUGGUUUUGCAACUUGAUAGUGAAGGCUAAUGCUCAGCCUCAAGCAUGUAUUCUGUUUUUGUUUCAACCUUUUAUUUUGGCCCUCGUAUCGUGUUUUGUUUGGUCCUGUUUUUGUUUUUGUUUCUGUUAAAUAAAUUUGCGCACCAAACUGCAGCUUUCUGUCUCUGGGUAUAAUUACUGUAGGUAACCAGCCUGGGCCAUGACGCUACCCUAUCACAGCACAUAUUUGGUACAUGAGGGGAAAAGGUAAUGCUGAGGCUGUACUGC
Long non-coding RNA from Polyodon spathula (Mississippi paddlefish), 1977 nucleotides. RefSeq lists it as uncharacterized. NCBI's taxonomy places the organism in Eukaryota, Metazoa, Chordata, Actinopteri, Acipenseriformes, Polyodontidae. The record is from RefSeq and is a predicted model, not a curated record. The transcript is spliced from 3 exons.